CAGUAGUGUCCAUUUUCCCAUUUUAUUUUUCCUGGAUCAGGUCAUUAUAUGAACAAAUAUUAAGAAGAAUGUCUUUUAUACAUAACUUACAAAAAGCACCAAGGUUUUCUAAUACAGGAAGAAAAAAGGCAAACAGAAUUCAAGUACCAUCUUGUACAAUAUUAAGAAUUUUCUGAGUCACUCAAAAAAAUGUGUUAAACAUUAACAGCAAACUCAGGCUACUGCCAGCCUUAAAAACAUAAAAUGUAACAGAUCAGUUUAAAGCAAAGGGUAAACAAACAAAGCCAUAGUCCAUAGCUAGGCACUUUGGAACAACAGAAGACUCAAGAAUUGGGGAAAUCAAGGAGCAUAAGCAACUUCUGCACUGGGUGAAGAGAAAAGCUAACAGCAAACGAGCAUGUGCAAUGGAAGCUUCUUUCUGAGGAAAGGUCAAAGUGGAUCCAUUUAACCAGGAAGUGGGAAUAUCUUGUACAACACAGACUGAAAGCAGGCACCAAUGGUGUGAUUACCAUAUCCUAAAGAAUGUAUCAGUGUAUCCAUGUAACUAGAGAUUAUGUGCUGCUUUUGUGAGGCAAGCACACAGAAAUCACGUGAUCAUGCUACUGACACGUCCCAGAAAAUGUUGGUUAACCAGGCCCAGCAUGGUGGUGCACGCCUUUAAUCCCAGCACUUGG
Molecule: long non-coding RNA, 674 nt
Organism: Nannospalax galili (Upper Galilee mountains blind mole rat)
Lineage: Eukaryota; Metazoa; Chordata; Mammalia; Rodentia; Spalacidae
Exons: 4
Source: RefSeq, a predicted model, not a curated record